Molecule: ribosomal RNA, 253 nt
Filed under: uncultured bacterium
Lineage: Bacteria
Description: partial 16S ribosomal RNA
Rfam family: Bacterial small subunit ribosomal RNA
Source: RNAcentral
UACAGAGGGUGCGAGCGUUAAUCGGAAUGACUGGGCGUAAAGGGCGCGUAGGUGGAUAUGUGUGUUGGAUGUGAAAGCCCCGGGCUUAACCUGGGAAUUGCAUACAAAACUGCAUGUCUAGAGUGGAGCAGAGGUGAGUGGAAUUUCCGGAGUAGCGGUGAAAUGCGUAGAUACCGGAAGGAACACCAGUGGCGAAGGCGACUCACUGGGCUCAAACUGACACUGAGGCGCGAAAGCUAGGGGAGCAAACAGG